GAUGAACGCUGGCGGCGUGCCUAAUACAUGCAAGUCGAGCGAACAGACGAGGAGCUUGCUCCUCUGAUGUUAGCGGCGGACGGGUGAGUAACACGUGGAUAACCUACCUAUAAGACUGGGAUAACUUCGGGAAACCGGAGCUAAUACCGGAUAACAUGUUGAACCGCAUGGUUCAACAGUGAAAGACGGUUUUGCUGUCACUUAUAGAUGGAUCCGCGCCGCAUUAGCUAGUUGGUAAGGUAACGGCUUACCAAGGCAACGAUGCGUAGCCGACCUGAGAGGGUGAUCGGCCACACUGGAACUGAGACACGGUCCAGACUCCUACGGGAGGCAGCAGUAGGGAAUCUUCCGCAAAGGGCGAAAGCCUGACGGAGCAACGCCGCGUGAGUGAAGAAGGUCUUCGGAUCGUAAAACUCUGUUAUUAGGGAAGAACAAAUGUGUAAGUAACUAUGCACGUCUUGACGGUACCUAAUCAGAAAGCCACGGCUAACUACGUG
This 497-nucleotide ribosomal RNA is filed under the name uncultured bacterium. Its description in RNAcentral is "partial 16S ribosomal RNA". It matches the Rfam family "Bacterial small subunit ribosomal RNA", at positions 28 to 507 of the family's 1533-position model. The record is from RNAcentral.